CGGCGAGUGAAGCGGUAAUAGCUCAAAUUUGAANUCUGACCUUCACGGNUCUGAGUUGUAAUUUGUAGAGGAUGUUUCGGAUAAGACUUUGGUUUAAGUAUCUUGGAACAGAACGUCAUAGAGGGUGAGAGUCCCGUCUAGAACCGAUAGUCGCGUCCAUGUGAAACUCCUUCGACGAGUCGAGUUGUUUGGGAAUGCAGCUCAAAAUGGGUGGUAAAUUUCAUCUAAAGCUAAAUAUUGGCCAGAGACCGAUAGCGCACAAGUAGAGUGAUCGAAAGAUGAAAAGCACUUUGAAAAGAGAGUUAAACAGUAUGUGAAAUUGUUGAAAGGGAAGCGCUUGCAACCAGACUUGCGUAUAACGGUUCCCCCAAUCUUCUGACUGGGUUAUUCUGUUAUAUCCAGGCCAGCAUCGGUUCGGGUGGUUGUUUAAAGACUUUGGGAAUGUAUCUNNCUUCGGGUCGACUUAUAGCCUAAGGUGUCAUACGGCCUAUCUGGACCGAGGAACGCGCUUUUUGCUCGGAUGCUGGCGUAAUGGUCGUAAGCGGCC
RNAcentral lists this ribosomal RNA (547 nucleotides) under uncultured fungus. RNAcentral describes it as "eukaryotic LSU rRNA". It matches the Rfam family "Eukaryotic large subunit ribosomal RNA", at positions 87 to 649 of the family's 3401-position model. Lineage: Eukaryota; Fungi. The record is from RNAcentral.